ACGCUAGCUACAGGCUUAACACAUGCAAGUCGAGGGUCAGCAUGGUCUUAGCUUGCUAAGGCCGAUGGCGACCGGCGCACGGGUGAGUAACGCGUAUCCAACCUGCCUUACACUCUUGGACAGCCUUCUGAAAGGGAGAUUAAUACAAGAUGUUAUCAUGAGUAAGCAUUUUCACAUGAUUAAAGGUUUACCGGUGUAAGAUGGGGAUGCGUUCCAUUAGAUAGUAGGCGGGGUAACGGCCCACCUAGUCUUCGAUGGAUAGGGGUUCUGAGAGGAAGGUCCCCCACAUUGGAACUGAGACACGGUCCAAACUCCUACGGGAGGCAGCAGUGAGGAAUAUUGGUCAAUGGACGAGAGUCUGAACCAGCCAAGUAGCGUGAAGGAUGAAGGUUCUAUGGAUUGUAAACUUCUUUUAUACGGGAAUAAACGGAUCCACGUGUGGAUUUUUGCAUGUACCGUAUGAAUAAGGAUCGGCUAACUCCGUGCCAGCAGCCGCGGUAAUACGGAGGAUCCGAGCGUUAUCCGGAUUUAUUGGGUUUAAAGGGAGCGUAGAUGGGUUGUUAAGUCAGUUGUGAAAGUUUGCGGCUCAACCGUAAAAUUGCAAUUGAUACUGGCAGUCUUGAGUACAGUUGAGGUAGGCGGAAUUCGUGGUGUAGCGGUGAAAUGCUUAGAUAUCACGAAGAACUCCGAUUGCGAAGGCAGCUUACUAACCUGUAACUGACAUUGAUGCUCGAAAGUGUGGGUAUCAAACAGGAUUAGAUACCCUGGUAGUCCACACGGUAAACGAUGAAUACUCGCUGUAGGCGAUAUACAGUCUGCGGCCAAGCGAAAGCAUUAAGUAUUCCACCUGGGGAGUACGCCGGCAACGGUGAAACUCAAAGGAAUUGACGGGGGCCCGCACAAGCGGAGGAACAUGUGGUUUAAUUCGAUGAUACGCGAGGAACCUUACCCGGGCUUAAAUUGCAACCGAAUAUGGCGGAAACGCUAUAGCUAGCAAUAGCGGUUGUGAAGGUGCUGCAUGGUUGUCGUCAGCUCGUGCCGUGAGGUGUCGGCUUAAGUGCCAUAACGAGCGCAACCCUUGCCGAUAGUUACUAACAGGUCAUGCUGAGGACUCUGUCGGGACUGCCAUCGUAAGAUGUGAGGAAGGUGGGGAUGACGUCAAAUCAGCACGGCCCUUACGUCCGGGGCUACACACGUGUUACAAUGGGGGGUACAGAGGGCUGCUACCACGCAAGUGGAUGCCAAUCCCAAAAACCUCUCUCAGUUCGGAUUGAAGUCUGCAACCCGACUUCAUGAAGCUGGAUUCGCUAGUAAUCGCGCAUCAGCCACGGCGCGGUGAAUACGUUCCCGGGCCUUGUACACACCGCCCGUCAAGCCAUGGGAGCCGGGGGUACCUGAAGUGCGUAACCGCAAGGAGCGCCCUAGGGUAAAACUGGUAA
This 1439-nucleotide ribosomal RNA is filed under the name uncultured organism. RNAcentral describes it as "SSU rRNA". It matches the Rfam family "Bacterial small subunit ribosomal RNA". The record is from RNAcentral.